This 468-nucleotide ribosomal RNA is filed under the name uncultured bacterium. Its description in RNAcentral is "partial 16S ribosomal RNA". It matches the Rfam family "Bacterial small subunit ribosomal RNA", at positions 28 to 507 of the family's 1533-position model. The record is from RNAcentral.
GACGAACGCUGGCGGCGUGCUUAACACAUGCAAGUCGAACGGAAAGGCCCUGCUUUUGUGGGGUGCUCGAGUGGCGAACGGGUGAGUAACACGUGAGUAACCUGCCCUUGACUUUGGGAUAACUUCAGGAAACUGGGGCUACUACCGGAUAGGAGCUCCUGCUGCAUGGUGGGGGUUGGAAAGUUUCGGCGGUUGGGGAUGGACUCGCGGCUUAUCAGCUUGUUGGUGGGGUAGUGGCUUACCAAGGCUUUGACGGGUAGCCGGCCUGAGAGGGGGAACGGCCACAUGGGGACUGAGAUACGGCCCAGACUCCUACGGGAGGCAGCAGGGGGGAAUAUUGCACAAUGGGCGGAAGCCUGAUGCAGAAACGCCGCGGGCGGGAUGACGGCCUUCGGGUUGUAAACCGCUUUCGCCUGUGACGAAGCGUGAGUGACGGUAAUGGGUAAAGAAGCACCGGCUAACUACGUG